Molecule: ribosomal RNA, 439 nt
Filed under: uncultured bacterium
Lineage: Bacteria
Description: partial 16S ribosomal RNA
Rfam family: Bacterial small subunit ribosomal RNA
Source: RNAcentral
CUACGGGAGGCAGCAGUGAGGAAUAUUGCACAAUGGGGGAAACCCUGAUGCAGCAACGCCGCGUGGAGGAUGACGCAUUUCGGUGUGUAAACUCCUUUUAUCGGAGAAGAAAAUGACGGUAUCUGAUGAAUAAGCUCCGGCUAACUCCGUGCCAGCAGCCGCGGUAAUACGGAGGGAGCAAGCGUUAUUCGGAAUCACUGGGCGUAAAGGACGCGUGGGCGGGUUUUUAAGUCAGGUGUGAAAUCCUAUGGCUCAACCAUAGAACUGCACUUGAAACUGGGGACCUAGAGUAUGGAAGGGGCAGGUGGAAUUAGUGGUGUAGGGGUAAAAUCCGUAGAUAUCACUAGGAAUACCGAAAGCGAAGGCGACCUGCUGGGACAUUACUGACGCUGAGGCGUGAAAGCGUGGGGAGCAAACAGGAUUAGAUACCCGGGUAGUC